RNAcentral lists this long non-coding RNA (329 nucleotides) under Elaeis guineensis (African oil palm). RNAcentral's name for it is "long non-coding RNA (EGUI_LNC014858)". Lineage: Eukaryota; Viridiplantae; Streptophyta; Magnoliopsida; Arecales; Arecaceae. The record is from RNAcentral.
GGGGCAAAAUUUAAGCUUGUGAUCUAUCAAUAUGAGAUAAUGGAUCUAACUCCUGAAUUUUUAGUCAUAAACAUGAAAGGGCAUUACAAUGUAUGAGGCUUUCACCGUUGUGGGUGGUUUAGAGAGAUUGAGAUAUACACAACCUUAUGUUCACAUAUAGAGGUGCUGUUUUCCUGAUAUCUAGUUCGCAGUGGAGCAACUUUACGAUUGCAAUAAGGUCUGCCCUCUUCCUCAAACAUGAAUACACGACCCAGAAUUAAGACAUGUAGAAAAUUCCAUUUAAUAUACAUAGGUGAAUUGAUAUAGGGUGCGAUUGAAAGCAUGGAUAA